GGCUUGGAGAAGAGAGAAAGAAAGAAAGAACGGGAGAAGAAGGCAAGAAUUCACCAAGAUCAUCCAAGCUUGCGAGUGGAAUUCGUCGGGGGUGAUCCCUAUUAAGGUAUGUGAGAUCUUUUCGUGAUGGGUUAGUUCACCCACACUCCCAACUUAUUUUUAUUCAGAGAAUGGUUGUUGAUUGAAUGAAAAGUUAGUGAGUUCUUGAAGAACUGUGUUGAAAUUCGUUAAGUUCUUGUUGGUUGAGUUGUUGAUGCUUGGGGGUAGAUUUG
Molecule: long non-coding RNA, 272 nt
Filed under: Solanum tuberosum (potato)
Lineage: Eukaryota; Viridiplantae; Streptophyta; Magnoliopsida; Solanales; Solanaceae
Description: long non-coding RNA (STUB_LNC005068)
Source: RNAcentral